Molecule: ribosomal RNA, 557 nt
Filed under: Criconemoides informis
Lineage: Eukaryota; Metazoa; Nematoda; Chromadorea; Rhabditida; Criconematidae
Description: bacterial SSU rRNA
Rfam family: Eukaryotic small subunit ribosomal RNA
Source: RNAcentral
CACAAACGCGCAAGACGGGAUCUCAUAUUCCAACCAGGAUCAGAAAGGCCCAAGGGGGGUCAGGUACGCCCUAGGCGAUUGAGUACCGGCGUUACGGCCGUAAGAUUCCCAGUGGCGAUUUGGGGGAAGCCCUGCCUGAGGAGCUCCCGAAAACGAAGCUCCGGUUCCGGGGGAAGAGGUGCAACUGAACUAAAGGAAUUACGGAAGGACCCCGGAGUGAGCCUGCGCUAAUUUGACUCAACACGGGAAAACUCACCCGGCCCGGACACCGUAAGGAUUGACAGAUUGAUAGCUUUUUCAUGAUUCGGGUGGUUGGUGGUGCAUGGCCCGUUCUUUAGUUCGUGGGAUCGAUUUUGUCUGGGUUUAUUUCCGAUAACGAGCGAGACUCCAGCCUACUAACUAGUACGAGCAUUGCCUCUUGUGCUCGGCACUUUCUUAGAGGGAUUGGCUGCGUCUAGGGGUACGAAACGGAGCAAUAAACAGGUCUGGUGAUGCCCUUUAGAUGUCCGGGGGCUGCACCCGCUACACUGGGCAAAGGCAACGUGCUUUUCCGUCUC